UACGUAGGGCGCAAGAGUUAACCGGAAUUAUUGGGCGUAAAGCGCUCGUAGGCGGUUUGUCGCGUCUGCCGUGAAAGUCCGGGGCUUAACUCCGGAUCUGCGGUGGGUACGGGCAGACUAGAGUGCAGUAGGGGAGACUGGAAUUCCUGGUGUAGCGGUGAAAUGCGCAGAUAUCAGGAGGAACACCGAUGGCGAAGGCAGGUCUCUGGGCUGUAACUGACGCUGAGGAGCGAAAGCAUGGGGAGCGAACAGG
RNAcentral lists this ribosomal RNA (253 nucleotides) under uncultured bacterium. RNAcentral describes it as "partial 16S ribosomal RNA". It matches the Rfam family "Bacterial small subunit ribosomal RNA", at positions 524 to 776 of the family's 1533-position model. The record is from RNAcentral.